This 414-nucleotide long non-coding RNA is filed under the name Nicotiana benthamiana. RNAcentral's name for it is "long non-coding RNA (NBEN_LNC019484)". Lineage: Eukaryota; Viridiplantae; Streptophyta; Magnoliopsida; Solanales; Solanaceae. The record is from RNAcentral.
AUUAGUUGGCUCAUUUCAUGACGGCUAUUGUAAUUAAUUUUGCGUUUAACAAACGUAGGGCAGUGUACAAAAUAUUUCGUAGGUACCAGGAAGAUGAGUAAUUCUAGAUAUCUCGCGUUCACAUAGGGUCCAUAGAAAGGCCGUAUUCCAAAGAAUGUGAUAUAGGCAAUCUACCUUCAUGCUAGUAUAGUGCUUGUUCUCACGGCUCGAAUAUAAAACUUAUAUGUCACAUGAAAACAACUUUAACAUUGCUCCCUAGUUUUGCACAGAUAUCUACCUAUUAUCCCUCAGUCACCCCACUUUUCUAUCAAUAACAAUUCAACAUCUUAUCGAUUAAUUUCUACAUAUAGAAAGAAAACUUUAAGCUGCAACUUAAAGCAAACACAAAGAAAGAGCAUUAUUCCAAGUCCUGAU